This 427-nucleotide ribosomal RNA is filed under the name uncultured cyanobacterium. RNAcentral's name for it is "bacterial SSU rRNA". It matches the Rfam family "Bacterial small subunit ribosomal RNA", at positions 28 to 495 of the family's 1533-position model. The record is from RNAcentral. Lineage: Bacteria; Bacillati; Cyanobacteriota.
GAUGAACGCUGGCGGUCUGCUUAACACAUGCAAGUCGAACGCAACCUUCGGGUUGAGUGGCGGACGGGUGAGUAACGCGUGAGAAUCUGCCUUGGGGUCGGGGACAACCACUGGAAACGGUGGCUAAUACCGGAUAAGCCUUUGGGUAAAAGAUUUAUUGCCCCAAGAGGAGCUCGCGUCUGAUUAGCUAGUUGGUGAGGUAAGAGCUCACCAAGGGCAGCGAUCAGGUAGCUGGUCUGAGAGGACGAUCAGCCACACUGGGACUGAGACACGUGCCAGACUCCUACGGGAGGCAGCAAGUGGGGAAUUUUCCGCAAUGGGUGAAAAGCCUUGACGGAGCAAGACCGCGUGAGGGAGGAAGGCUCUUGGGUUGUAAACCUCUUUUCUCAGGGAAGAAGCUCUGACGGUACCUGAGGAAUCAGCCUCG